GUGCAGCAGGCGCGAAAACUUUACAAUGUGCGAAAGCACGAUAAGGGAACUCUGAGUGCCUCCUAAGGAGGCUGUUCAGGUGUCUAAAAGCACCUGAAGGAAGGGCUGGGUAAGACCGGUGCCAGCCGCCGCGGUAACACCGGCAGCCCAAGUGGUAGCCACGUUUAUUGGGUCUAAAGCGUCCGUAGCCGGCUGGGUAAGUUCCUUGGGAAAUUUGGCUGCUUAACAGUCAAGCUUUCAGGGAAUACUGCCCGGCUUGGAACCGGGAGAGGUCAGAGGUACUCCAGGGGUAGGGGUGAAAUCCAUUAAUCCUUGGGGGACCACCGGUAGCGAAGGCGUCUGACCAGACCGGGUCCGACGGUGAGGGACGAAGGCUAGGGGCGCGAACCGGAUUAGAUA
RNAcentral lists this ribosomal RNA (399 nucleotides) under uncultured microorganism. RNAcentral describes it as "bacterial SSU rRNA". It matches the Rfam family "Archaeal small subunit ribosomal RNA", at positions 330 to 735 of the family's 1478-position model. The record is from RNAcentral.